GUCUCUUUCGUCUAGUGGUUAGGACAUUGUCUUUUCACGGCAAAAACACGGGUUCAAUCCCCGUAAGAGAUA
Molecule: transfer RNA, 72 nt
Filed under: Thecamonas trahens
Lineage: Eukaryota; Apusomonadida; Apusomonadidae
Description: tRNA-Glu
Rfam family: tRNA
About the family: Transfer RNA (tRNA) molecules are approximately 80 nucleotides in length. Their secondary structure includes four short double-helical elements and three loops (D, anti-codon, and T loops).
Source: RNAcentral